CGCGUAGACGGUUGUCUAAGUCUGGAGUGAAAGUCCUGCUUUCAAGGUGGGAAUUGCUUUGGAGACUGGAUGACUUGAGUGCGGAAGAGGUAAGUGGAAUUCCCAGUGUAGCGGUGAAAUGCGUAGAGAUUGGGAAGAACACCAGUGGCGAAGGCGACUUACUGGGCCGUAACUGACGUUGAUGCGCGAAAGCGUGGGGAGCGAACA
Molecule: ribosomal RNA, 207 nt
Filed under: uncultured bacterium
Lineage: Bacteria
Description: partial 16S ribosomal RNA
Rfam family: Bacterial small subunit ribosomal RNA
Source: RNAcentral